This 541-nucleotide long non-coding RNA is filed under the name Pan troglodytes (chimpanzee). RNAcentral's name for it is "long non-coding RNA NONPTRT009562". Lineage: Eukaryota; Metazoa; Chordata; Mammalia; Primates; Hominidae. The record is from RNAcentral.
GAAAAACAAGUCCCAGGGAAUGGAAGCAAUUUGCCUAGUUCUUUCCAACUUCUAACAGUACAGCAGGGUUAAUACCCUUUUAUUCCCGAUUUCUGUCCAGGAAUCCUGGUCUGCAGACAGCCCUGUCUUCUAGUCCAAGAUGCUGGCCAAGAGUGUUGAGGUGGGGAGAAUGAAAGUGAGACGAGGGAAGAUCUCAGACUUACACCUGCCCUGCCCCGCCUGGCUGAUUCUCCAGCCCCAGCCGGAGAGCCACUCACCAUUUUGAUGGGCCGGAAGGACAUGAGCCGAUCACUGCGGUAGCUGCUCGACCAUGUGUUCCAGCGAGGGUACUCGCCCUUCUCCAGGAUGAACAUCUCCCCGCGGAAGUUGGACUGCUCAAAGGCGACCCAGCUGGAUACAAGAAGGACCAUGAGGCAGACAGGAGACAUAUGAGUUCUUAGGAAAAAAGAGACGGAUGAGGGGACACUGACACUAGCAUCUUCUCCCAGGGGGCUGCUGGGACCCUGCUCUCCCCAGAAGGAGAUAAGGAUGAUGGGCUAUC